UGAGGGCAACUAAACUCCGAGUUUAUCAGUUUCUUGGAGAGGGGGAUUUCGAGUGAAAAUACCUCAUUCAAUAGCUGGCCGUCAACAUCCUUCCUCCCGCCGGAAAAGGGUGUUUUUUUCUUUUCAUACCAAAAAAUCUUGACCCCAAUACCAAAUGUACUGAAGGGUGAUUGUAUGAGCGCUAACUCUUCGUUCAACUUGGCAUGUGGACUGAAGCCGUCGAGAAGUGCGGGCGUCUGGGUCCGAGGUGGGAGAUGCAGCUGGCGAUAGACUUUCCAAUCUCAGAUGCUUCGGGCGGUUCCUUACUCCCAUCUGAGAGAGAGACGGCAUUUCUUUCAUAUUCAAGGUGGGCUGCUUUUUAGAAGUUCGGCCCGAUUUUCUAUUUUUGACUAAAAAAGGGGGGGAGGGAUUGACCUUUCUAACGCAUAUUCUGUCGUACCGGCAUGGCCCCACUGAUUUGUUUUCGAUCG
RNAcentral lists this long non-coding RNA (470 nucleotides) under Phoenix dactylifera (date palm). Its description in RNAcentral is "long non-coding RNA (PDAC_LNC013414)". The record is from RNAcentral. Lineage: Eukaryota; Viridiplantae; Streptophyta; Magnoliopsida; Arecales; Arecaceae.